CGUAGGUGGCAAGCGUUGUCCGGAAUUAUUGGGCGUAAAGCGCGCGCAGGUGGGAUAAUAAGUCUGAUGUUAAAGUUCGGGGCUCAACCCCGUGAAGCAUUUGGAUACUGUUAUUCUUGAGUGCAGGAGAGGAAAGUGGAAUUCCUAGUGUAGCGGUGAAAUGCGUAGAUAUUAGGAGGAACACCAGUGGCGAAGGCGACUUUCUGGACUGUGUCUGACACUGAGGCGCGAAAGCCAGGGUAGUGAACGGGAUUAGAUACCCCGGUAAUCCUGGCCGUAAACGAUGCAUAUUUGGUGUGGGCCAUUCAUUUGGUCUGUGCCGGAGCUAACGCGUUAAAUAUGCCGCCUGGGGAGUACGGUCGCAAGGCUG
RNAcentral lists this ribosomal RNA (370 nucleotides) under uncultured organism. RNAcentral's name for it is "bacterial SSU rRNA". It matches the Rfam family "Bacterial small subunit ribosomal RNA", at positions 526 to 896 of the family's 1533-position model. The record is from RNAcentral.